Molecule: ribosomal RNA, 481 nt
Filed under: uncultured bacterium
Lineage: Bacteria
Description: partial 16S ribosomal RNA
Rfam family: Bacterial small subunit ribosomal RNA
Source: RNAcentral
GACGAACGCUGGCGGCGUGCUUAACACAUGCAAGUCGAACGGGAUCCGGGCUUUCGGGUUUGGUGAGAGUGGCGAACGGGUGAGUAACACGUGAGUAACCUGCCCCCUUCUUUGGGAUAACGUCGGGAAAUCGGCGCUAAUACUGGAUAUUCUUGCUGCAUCGCCUGGUGUGGUUUGGAAAGGGUUUCUUGUGGGGGAUGGGCUCGCGGCCUAUCAGCUUGUUGGUGGGGUGAUGGCCUACCAAGGCUUUGACGGGUAGCCGGCCUGAGAGGGUGUCCGGCCACACUGGGACUGAGACACGGCCCAGACUCCUACGGGAGGCAGCAGUGGGGAAUAUUGCACAAUGGGCGCAAGCCUGAUGCAGCGACGCCGCGUGAGGGAUGACGGCCUUCGGGUUGUAAACCCCUUUCAGUAUGGAACAAGGAUCCUUCUUUUGGGGGGUUUGAGGGUACGUGCAGAAGAAGCGCCGGCUAACUACGUG